GAGGCGGUAGCUCAGUUGGUAGAGCAACGGACUUUUAAUCCGUAGGUCCUGGGUUCGAUCCCCAGCCGCCUCA
Molecule: non-coding RNA, 73 nt
Organism: Gemmatimonadetes bacterium 13_2_20CM_2_66_5
Lineage: Bacteria; Pseudomonadati; Gemmatimonadota
Source: Rfam